This 68-nucleotide transfer RNA is filed under the name Marmota monax (woodchuck). RNAcentral describes it as "tRNA.Ala". Lineage: Eukaryota; Metazoa; Chordata; Mammalia; Rodentia; Sciuridae. The record is from RNAcentral.
GAGAUGUGGCUCAGUGGUAGAGUGCUUGCCUAGCGUUCAUGAGGCUUUGGGUUCAAUCCUCAGUCACA